AUCUAAAUCUAAGAAAUUGUAUUGUUCAUUUGCUGGUUUAGGUGUCCAAUUUUUAUUUAGUCUACUGUUCCAUAUUGCAUUAUUUCUGUCUGAUUGUUGAUAGCUUUCUGUAUAAUAAGUUGGUGGUGUUCUCCUAGGACUAACUCUAGGACUAUUUCUGGGACUAUUAUCUGGGGUUUUAACUCUUGACGUACUAGGUCUAUUCAUAUCUCCUGUGUUUAUUUCUAAUUUUUUUGGUUUAUUUAUCUGUUCUAGAAUUUCUGUAUAUGUUUCACUUAUAUCACUUAUUUCUGAUUGUUGGUCAUUUUCAUUUCCGUCUAUUUCAUUUACUUCAAUAUCUUCAUUUAGUUCUUUUAGAUCUUCAUUUAGUUUCUGUUCCAUUUGUUUUAUUUCAUUUGUUAAUUCUAGCUCUUUAUCUUUUUGUUUUUGUUUAUUUUCAUAUAAUAAUUUUAACCUAGAUAAUUCUUUUUCUAAUUCACUUAUUCUUGUAUUUUUUAUUUCUUCUAAAUUUUGUACUUUUUGUUUUGCUUGUGUUUUUAUUUUUUCAAUUUCUCUUGAUUUAUCUAUUUCUUCAUUUUCUUUUGUCAUUCUUACCAUAGCUGUUAAACUAUCUUCUAAUUUUGCUGUUUCUUUUUCUAGCAUUAAGUAUAAGUUAUUUCCUAUUCUCUUGUAUCUUCUUCCUAAAUUUGAAAAUACUAUUUUUAUUAUCAUUCCAUCUUUGUUUUCAUAUGUUUUUUCGUCUACUGCAAACUCUUCUUUAUUCAUUAUGAUCUAUGUAUUAUAUUAUGUUGUAAUUCAUAUUCAAGACAAUCUAAUUCUAAUUCUAACAUUAAUAUAUUUUUUCUUUGUGCUAGUAUUGAUUUAUUACAUACUCCUGCUAAUAUAUUUUCCUCUAACCUUCUUUUUCUAUGUUGUAAUUCUUGUUCUUUUUCAACCAUUUUUUCCAUUAUUUCUUCUAUUAAUUGUUGUUUAUAGAUUUCUUUGUUCAUACUCUUUUUUCAAAUAGCAGACAUAUUUAUAUUCUAUUUUUGAAAUUAUGUUUAUCAAUUGAUCUUUUCUAUCAUUAUCUGUUUUGACUAGUUGUGAUAGUUCAUAUUCUAUAUAUAAAGAUCUUAAUUUUUUCCAUAUUUUUCUUACUUUUUUAUCUUUCUUAGUUCUUUUUAUUUUAGUAUUUUUAUUUUUAUUCAUCAUAUCUUUUUAUAUAAUAUUUUAAAAAGCUUACUUAAUUUAUCUGGAUAUCUAAUCUUUUUUAACCUGUAAUUUCUACCAUAUCGCCUUAGCCAAUAUUCAGUCAUAUUUAAUCUCCAAUAUCUAAAUCAUCAUAUAAAUCAUACAUGUCAUAAUAAAGCCCAUCUUGUAUACUUUGUAUGGUUAACUCAGUCCAACCGUGGGUUGUUAUUUCUAUUAUCUCAUUUGUUAAUAAUUUAUUAUAAAUUUCUCUUUUUAUAUCAGUAUUCAAAUUUUUUAGUAUAUAGAGUAGUAAUAUCUUAUAACCAACAUUAUCAUCUAAUAGGUAUGUUUCCAUUUUUAUUAUUUUCAUUCUUCACUAAAAUUUUAUUCCUUCCAACCUCUUAAUAAAUUAUACUUGCUUAUUAUGCAAAAAUAAUGAUUUAAUAAUCAUCUCGUCUGGUCACUACUACAACUUUUUUCUUUGAUUAGUUACCAUAACAGCGCCUCAACUUUGUUUACUCUCCUAAACGGCCUUCUCUGCCUACCGGUUUCAACCUUAGGAUGACAUAGUCUGGGCAUACUUAUUCGAAGAAUAUUUCUGUAGCAAACUUUCUAAAGAUGGUUAUUAUAACAUUAUUCAAACAUGAUAAACAAUUAUAAUUAACAAGAGAUUUUCAGGAAUAAAUUAAUUUAGCUACUCAUGAAUAUAAAAUGGUAUACCUGUUUUUGUAGAUCUUCCGACAUAGUUGAUAUGUUUUCCAUAAUUAUUUAAUUAUCUAGCUCUGAUACCAAUGGAGGGGGUGGAAGCGGAUUUAUAAAUUGAGAGUAAAGAGUAGAGAGAAGAUUGUUAGAUGAAGGAUUGAUUAUUUUAUUUAUGAGGGGAAACCCUCUAUUUAUACACAAAAUUUACAGACUUUUGACCAAAAAUGGCCGACACAUACUUUACACUUGGCCUCUUUAUAUUCGGCCGACACAAGAAAACAAAAUACUUACUAUUACUACUUUACAUAAUGACCUCUUCUUUAUUUAUGGCCGACAUACACACUAUUUUCUUUAUGACUUUUACAAUUGGCUUUUUACAGCCGACACAACACGACAAAAAUAAAAAUUAUUACUUUUUGCAUAUGGUUGAUAUUCAGCCGACACAAAAUUUUAACAAAAUACAAAAUACUUUUUUUUAUUCGAUUUGAACGUCCCAAUAAUUUUGCAAUAUCUGGUCAAUAAUUCUUCCGAAAUAAACCCUUUCCUUAAUGCUCUUGUUGUUGGUUUUUGCUCUGGCUUGAGUAGACUGAGUAUCCAUUGGUGUAUCUCUUCCAUAUCUUGUUCUCUGAUUUCUUUAGAAUUUGAAUAUAUCAUAACUUGCUCUCGUACAUAAUAGCUCCAUACUGAAUUUCCGUUUAAAUAAUUGUUAGUUAGUUCAUUUAGGAUAGUUGCUAUUCCUAUAACUCUUUUGUUGGUGUAGAAUUCUGGUAUCUCAAUCUUUUGUAUUUCUUGUUGUAUUCCGAUAUCUUCUGGAAUUAUCAUAUCUCUGGUCAAACCAAUUUUUAUAACUUGUAUUAUUGGUUUUAUCUCAUCAAAUAAUAUCUCUGUUGGUGCUGAAUAAAAUUUUAAAUAAAACAAUGUUCCUUUAGUAAUUCUUUUAUAGUUCAUAAAGGUUUUGUAUAGCUCUGGUAUGGUAGAUAUUUCAUCUCCUGUUUGGGUAUAAACUGUAUUAAGUAAUCCGUAACUAUAACAUGUUUUUACUAGAUUUGCAUUGGUGCCUGGUUGUGCUAUUAACUUAUUAUAUCCUUGUAGCUUUUGGGUUAUAAAAUCAGUAUUAGGGUCUUUGGUAGUUGGAGAUCUAGGUGUUGAGUUUAAAUAAUUUUGGAUUUUAUAAAGGUUUUCAAUAUAUGAGCGGGUUAUCUGGUUGUAGGCUUUUUUAUCUUGGUUUAAACUUUCUGAGUAAGUAUGUAUUUGUGGUGGUAUAAAUAAUGAGUCUUUUUGGUUCUUUGGAAUAAAUGGUUUAUCGAAGAUUUUGUUCAUAUUUAAAUUUGUAUAUCUUAUUCCACCGGCUCCUUUUGUUGUAGAUGUGCUUAUUGUAGCUGCAUUUAAACAAACAUUGUCAUGGGUUUUAUGGAGUUUCCCAACGUCUCCUUCUAGUUAUGGCUUUUUACCGUCCGCCGAACGACGUAGCUCCACAUUUUUAGAGUCAUGCUGCUGACUGUUAGCUUUCAGAUUUUGUAACUCUUUUCCAUACUGUCCACCUUCGUAGAAAGUGUAGUAAUUGCUUUGAGUAUUUCUUCUAUUGUAUCUUGUUCAGUUUGAGUUCCUUUUUCUUGAUAGGUAGUCUGCAACAAGGUUCUUGUCAGUCUUAAUUACUUCAAUUGUAAAUGUAAAAUUUAAUAUAUUCAAUACUAAUCUCCUUAUUUCUUUUGUUGUAACUGAAUCUUCUAAUUUUUUUGUUAUCCACCAUUUUACCUGUGUGUUAUCUGUUCUUACAAUAAAUUUAUUGUAAACAAUAUAUGGUUCAAAUGCUAAUAAACAUUUAUAUAAUGCGAAUAAUUCUUUUCUAUUUAUUUCCCAUUUUAUUUGUGCUUCUGUAUAAGAUCCUUAAUAAUAUCUACGAUGGUGUUCUAUUUUUUCUUUUUCAUAUUUGUAUUUUAAAACUCCUCCAUAACUAUGAUCACUCGAAUCUGUUUUAACAAUGUAAGUAAAUGUUUUAUUUUCAUCAGGAAAAUAUAGUUUUGGUAAUUUUUUACAUAGAUUCUUAAUAAUUUUUAUAUGUUUUUUAUCUUUAUUAUCGUUUUAAAUGUUCUGCUAAUUUUGGUAAAUAUUCUCUUACCUGGUUUACUAAUCCUAGAAAGGAUUGUGAUUUCUUUUUUGUAUCUAUAUUUUCAUCAAUAUUAAUUAUUUUUUGUACUAUAUGAGUUUGCAUUUUUAUUCCAUUUUUAUCUAUUUGUAUUCCUAGAAAUUCUAUUUGUGAUUUCAUAAUUUCUGCUUUUCUUUUACUCAAACUUGUACCUGUAUUUUUUACUAUAUGUAUAAAUUUUUCCAACAAUCUUAUAUGUUCAUCUUGUGUUCUAGAAUAUAACAAUAUGUCAUCUAUAUAUACAAUACAGUUUUCUAGUUGGUUAAAACAGUUAUCCAUAAAAUGUUGGAAUCUACCUGGUGCAUUUUUAUAUCCAAAAGGUAAAACAUUCCAUUCAUAGAAACCUUGCGGUACUGUGAAUGCUGUUAAUUGUUUGGAUUCUUCUUCUAGUUUUAGGUGGUAAAAUCCUGAUUUGCAGUCAAAUUUGCUAAAAUAAUUAUAUCCUUGUAUUUGUCUUAUUUUUAGUAUUUUGUUUGGUAUCGGAUAAUUGUAUGUUUUAGUUUUAGCAUUUAGAUUACGAUAAUCUAUGACCAUUCUACUUUUACCUCUUUUUUGUUCACUGUGUUUUAUUACUAUAAAUGCUGGACUUGUAUGUUUACUAUUGCUUUUUUGUAUGUAAUUAUUUCCUAACAGUUCAUUUAUAUGUAUUUUAAAUUCUUCUAGAUCAUCAAAGUUAUAUUUUAAUGGUUUCUGUGUUAUUAUACUAUUUUCAUCUAUUAAUUCAAUUUUUACUUCUGUCUUAUGUUUUUCCCAUCCUUGUAAUGGAUCUUCACUAUAUAAUUGUUCUAGUUGUUCAUUAAUUAAUUUGACUUUGUCUAUAGCAAAUAUAAUAAUUUCUAAUUGCGUUAUUUGCUUAUUAUUUAUAUUUUUCAUUUCUUGGUUUAUCUUUUCACUUCCUUUUAUCCAUUCCAUAGGUUUUCGUUGUUUAUUAUUUACUCUUUUUGCUCCUAUCUUAUUUCCGCAUGCUGUAGUAAGCCACCAAUGUGUUUUUGUUAUUAUGUGUGGAUAAUAUCUAUUUAGAAAUGACAUUCCUAAUAACAUAUCUUUUGUAGUAAAUUCAAAAUUAUAUAUUUCUUCUAUUGUUAGUAUUUUAUCCCAUAUUUGUAUUUUUAUAUUUUUUUUUUGUAUUUAAUCAUACUUCCUUCAUUGUUAAAUCCCGUUACUACCAUAGGUGUUUUUAAUUUUUCCCAUUUAUCUUCUGGUAAGCAAUUAUAUUUACAUAUAUUCGUUUCUGCUCCUGUAUCUAUCAUAGGGGUAUAAUAUCUGUUGUGAUAUCCCUCUACUAUAAUUUUUGCAAGUAUAAAUAUUUUCAUUAAUCAUUUUGUCCUUUUUAUAAUUAUUUUCUUAUUUUGACAAGUUAUUGUUAAUUGUUCAUUUUCUAUAUUGUAUGGUUUGACUUUUUCUAACCAUUUUAUUCCUAAUGUAAUAUUAUGAUUUCCUUGGUAUAUUUUAAAUUGUAUUACUAAGGUAUUCCUCCUAUAAUUAUUUCUUUUUCUGUUGUUUCUUCAUUCGUGUUCACUAUCUCACUAGGUAGUCCAGGGCAUGUAUGUCCUGUUCUUAUAAUUUCUUCUUCUAAUACUAACUCUCUUGUUAUAUAAUUUUCUUCUUGUCCUGUAUUUAUUAAUAUUUUAUAUUUUCUUUGGUCUAUUAUCCCUGUUAUGAAAUAAUGAUAUGGUGUUAUUUCUUCUUUAUCUAAUAGGCUUUGUGGAAUUUCAUAUUUUCUUUUAGAUGUACUCAUCCUUGAUGAGGUAGCUCUUGUCAAUGUAUUUGGUACGCUUGAAGUGCUUAAUCUUUCUUUUACUAUUUCUAAAUCUUCUUCUAUAUCAAUUUCUUUAUAGGUAUAGUCAUUAUUGUCUAUUACAUUAAUUAUUUUUUCAAAAGGAUUUUCUAUUUUUAUUUUAUUAAUUUUAUUUCUUGCUGUUAUUUUAUGCUUUGUUGUUAAUAUAUAUAAAUUUUUACAUCUUGCUGUAAAUAAUUUGCUCCCUGGUGCUAGUUCUAUUCCAGACAUUUUCCAAUAUAAAACUAAUGAUCUAUCUAUAUUUUUAUCUGUUAAUGAUACUGUAUAAUUAGCACUUAUUGUAAACUUAAAUUUUUGAUAUAUUAAGUUUUCUUUUACUGCACUAAUUAUGCUUUUUUCUAUACGGUGUACAAUUCUAUCAUCUGCCAAAUAUAUUUCUAUAGGUGUAUCUAUUCCUUCUCUAAAGCAGGCUUUUAUUAAUAUUUCUGUUCCUCCUAAAUGUACAUAUUUUAUUGGUGUUUUAGCUUUUAUAUCUUGUAUUUCUUUGUUUAUCAUUCUUUUAUUUAUUAUAGGUAUAUAUGCUUUUCCUCUUGUGUAUUUACAAUCUAUGAUAUGUUCUUUUUGACUAACUACAUAGUAUUCUUCUUUUUGUCUUUUAAACCAAUUUCUUAAAAUAGGUAUUUCUAGUACUUUUUCAACACUUAAAUCUAAUUCUUUUCCUUUUAUUUGUUCAAAUAUCAUAUUAUCAAAUAUAAUUUUCUGUUCUGAUGAUUCUUCAUCUUGAUAUUCUUCCUUAGAUAUUAUUUUUAUUUCAUUUUCAGACAUUAUACUUCUUCAUCUGUUUCGUUAUUAUCUAUGUUAAUAUUUUAUUCUUCAUUCUCAGUUUCCAUGUCUGAUACUUCAUAUAUACUAUCAUUUUCACUUAAUUCAUAAUCUAUGUACUCUAUUUGCAUAUAUUUUUUAUUGUUUAUAAUUAAUUCUGCUAUUUGUUUUUUUUUUGGAUUUUUGGGUAAUUUGCAAUCUUUAGCUAUGUGUCCUAUCUUUCCACAAUUAUAACAAGUACAUUGGGAUAUUUUUCUUUUUGGUCUGUAUGGUCUUUUUAUUUUAUGAUUUUUUACAUAAUACCUUCGUCUUGGUUGUUUAUAUUUAUAUAUAGUUUUGUUUUUUCUAUAAUUUUUAUAUCUUUUAGAUUUUUGUUUUUUAGUUGUGCAUCCAAAUUGUGGUGCCAUUUUAUUUUUGCAACAUGAUAAAUUUUUAUUUAAUACUUUUUCCAUUUUUAAUUUUUCUUUUUGGUUUCCACAUAGUUGUAUGAACCAUUGAAUUAAAAGUUGUAUUCUAGAUCCUAAAGUAUCUACCAUUCCUUCAUUAUUCCAAUCCUUUAUUACGUUUGUACUAAAUGGUUCUGGUAAUUUUGUAUAAUAUUGUUUUCUUAUUUCUUUUGCUUCGUCUAAAUUGUUUUUAGCUUUGUAAUAAUAUUCUUUAAAUGCGCAAGUAUAUUCUUCUAAGUAACACAUUUUACAUAUAUCUAAUUUUGUCAUUAGUUGUCUAUUUAUUAUUUUUUAUCUAUUUUGUUCUCUUAUAUCUGUAGUCAUGCCUCCAAUUUCAUUUCUUAUUGCUGAUUCAUAUUUAUCUAGUAUAUCUAUAUUUGUUGCUGAUGCGGAUCCAUCCAUUUUCUUAUCAUUCCUAAGUACUUCUAAACUUUCUGAGGGUAGAUUUUCUAUCCAUAAUUUUGUUGUUCCUACGAAUGUUCUUUCUACGUAUCUUGGUGUUUUCGCUUUUUCUAUUUUGUUAUCUAUUAACUGUUCAGACAUAUUUCCUAUCCAUAAUAACAAAAUUGCUUUAUUUAUAUCUGCGACACAAUCUAAAUCUAAGAAAUUGUAUUGUUCAUUUGCUGGUUUAGGUGUCCAAUUUUUAUUUAGUCUACUGUUCCAUAUUGCAUUAUUUCUGUCUGAUUGUUGAUAGCUUUCUGUAUAAUAAGUUGGUGGUGUUCUCCUAGGACUAACUCUAGGACUAUUUCUGGGACUAUUAUCUGGGGUUUUAACUCUUGACGUACUAGGUCUAUUCAUAUCUCCUGUGUUUAUUUCUAAUUUUUUUGGUUUAUUUAUCUGUUCUAGAAUUUCUGUAUAUGUUUCACUUAUAUCACUUAUUUCUGAUUGUUGGUCAUUUUCAUUUCCGUCUAUUUCAUUUACUUCAAUAUC
Molecule: long non-coding RNA, 7954 nt
Filed under: Solanum lycopersicum (tomato)
Lineage: Eukaryota; Viridiplantae; Streptophyta; Magnoliopsida; Solanales; Solanaceae
Description: long non-coding RNA (SLYC_LNC000769)
Source: RNAcentral